CCUCCAUAUACCGCAGGUUCGGCCCUAAAAAGACAAACAACAACAACAACAAAAUAUAUAUAUGUAAUAAAGUUUUCAGAAGAGGCAGUCUUUGCUCAGACAUACUGCUUAAAAACUAUUUAGAAAUAGAAUCAGACAAGUCUUUAAUGCACAGAAAAGACAAACAAUUUAUUUCCUCAAAACUGACACAUGGGAAAACUGUGAAGGGAAGUUUGAUUUCGGGGCCACUGCUCCUGGCCCCGCCACCCCUACCCCCCUUAAAAGUCUUUUUGUCCCCCCCAGGCACCCCUUCCAGGUGCCCUAUGUCCUGGGCUUGACCACAAAGGCCAGCCCAUAGCUCCUCUUCUCUGCAGAGUUUGCUGCUGUUGCUACUCUUGUUUUUCUUGGACCAAUUCCAUAUUUGCUUUUCCGAAGAUGGGUUUAAGGUGCCAUUUGGCUGGGCUGACUAAACAUAAUAAUUUUGUAACGAAUGAAAGGGAGGUAGAAGUGCCUUCUUAAAGUAAUGAUACCCAAUGCUCUUUCUUCUGUCUUCUGAUAAUAAUAGUUGCCACUUACUGAAUGUUUUGGACAGACCACCAAAGCCUGAGCAAUUCUUACACAGACCUCUAUGGAAUAAAGGAUCACUGGUGUUCCCACUGUACAGAUUCGUGAACAUUGCAUGACUUCUUUAAAAUCACAUGGAUAUUGCUGGGUUUUCAAACUAGGAAAUGCAUCCCAGAUUUGUCAGAGAGAUGCUUUUGAGGAUAAAAGAUUUCUACGAUUUCUCAGAUCCUGAUCUAUAUUUAAAACAUUUGACUCGAUUAAAAACAAUACUUCUUUAAAACAGAAUCCACUGCAAGAUAAUCUCAGGCUUCGGUGUGAUACAUUUGUGUUUAGACAUUCUGGAAGUAGGAGCUCAAAACCAUAAGGCCCCAUAGAUGGUAUUCACUCUUGCUGCCCUCACUCUCACGGCUUCAGGCCUCUGGGCCUCUCCUCCCUCCCUUUGCCCCCCUGUUUUCUUUUUUAAGGUGCUUCUUUACCUCUGACUUCAGUCAAGGAUUGUGUGCUUCGUAGAGUUUCAUAGAUUCAAACUACAAGCAGUAACAAUCUACCCAGCCCAGUGCAUUCAAAUUCAGUUCAUGGUUGGCAUUCGGUUCCCUGCAUCCUUCCUCCCUUCCUCCCUCUGCCCCCUUCCAUCCCUCAAGCAUUCCUCCAAAUUAUUCUGUUUGUCUAGGUCCUGGCAUCUGGUAUUCUGUCUGUUCUAGGUGCUGAGCACAGGGCUAAGCAUACUUUGAUGAAUAAAACACACCAUUCUCUGAAACCUGUCUGAGGUUUUCCUUGUGCUGAAUUCCCUGUGUACGUCUAAUGAAUACAAUGCCAUUUCGGAUUAAAUGGCUCUCUUAUUAUUUAUUUUUUUUCCUGCGCGUUCCUUAUGAGUUGCUAAAUCGAUGAAAAGCUUGUGGAAAAAUUUGCACUGAUAACAUUCACAAAGAAAAGGCAUCCCUGGACAGCUGAAGAGACUCUGAGGCUCUGGAAAAUGUUAGGGGACACCCGUCCUAACGUUUAGGGUCAUGGACGGCUGAGUGGAGGAGGAGAUGACAUUUAAACCUGAGUAGGAUGCACGGGAGGUAGCUUAUCCUGUGUCCCUCAUGUGCAGGGGACAAUAUGCAAUGGCAUGAUUUAAGUGGUCAAAUUGUGCUUUGGAUGUGAAAGUCUAUAAACUCAGAGUGUGCUGGUCUUUCUGGGGACUUCACAGGGCUGGCAAAGUACUGUGAGAUAGAUGAGAGAUGGUGAGCACUGGAGCAGCAUCCCUGGCAGAGGCAGCCUUCAACCACGGGCUCCUUUAGAGCCUGAAAGGGGGGCAGUGACCCUGCAGGCUGAGAUACAGCCUGAACUAAGACCCAGGGAUCCACAGUCACGUUUUAUGGGCCUGCCAAGAACAGGGAUUUCUGCUCCAAGGUAAAGGAGAAGCAAAUUUGCCCAAUGAGGCAUUGGAGUGGCUAAAACAGGAUCACAAACCAACUGGUCAUUUCUUUCCUUUUUUUUUUUUUUUUUUUUUGGCUGUGCCCACAGCAGCUAUCCAUUCCUGGAACACAAAAUUAUUUAUCAUGCCCAAAUGUCAAUUUUCUUGCAUUGCUGAAUAUACUUCCUGCACCUUUCCAUUCUCUCUCAUGAAUAAUCAUACAGCACUGACAUCUUUUAUAUCCAAGUUUGCAGCUCAGUAGACCAAGAAAGUUGUACAAAGAACAAUGAGCUAAAUACGGAAAUAGCAUUGAUCCUAUCUUUAUCUACCUCGUCAUCUACUUGGGUCUCAGACACAUUAUCAUCAUGAUCAUUUUAUUUCUCUUAUAUUUCCUUUUUGCUGCUCUUCUUUAAGUUCUUUACGUUUCAAGCACUGUGGUAAGUGCUUUACAAACUGUAAGACAAAAAGGGAUUUCCGUAUAGCGUCCCUUCCCUCUUCUUCCAGAAAUCUGUUUUUCUGUUUGAAGGCCAGCCCUCCCUCUUUUUAACCCCUUGCAUCCACACCACUGCCUGUAGGCUUUGCAGUUGGUAGUGUCAUGGCCUGGAUGGGUCCACGGGGACUGGUCACAGGUGGGCAUGUCCCCCCAGGUGGACGGAGCCAUGACCUGAGUCUCCCCAGGCCAAGACUUUUGCUAGAGUUUUUGGAGAAGAGCAGCUCUCCUUCCAGUGAGGUCACUAGAUGUAACAGCCAUUUAAACCUGGAGCUGACCAGGAGCCCCUGCUCCCUGCUCUCAUUCCCUGACCUACCUGAGAAUGAAGUCAGCACACAGGAAGGCGGUCCCAAGAGCUGGAGAGGUAGCAAGAGCAUUCUCAAGUCAUGAAAUUCUGAAACCAGCCUUUUCUGAAGGGAGCAUUCUGCUGGGCCUUUCUAUUAUGUGGCCCAAGAGAUUCCCAUUUGUCCUUAUUAAACUCAUUGUAUUCGGGCUUUUGUUCUUGGCCAUUGGAAAGGGCACAGAUCUUACAGGGGUUUUUUUAAAUUUUUUUACUAAAAAAUCUCCUGUUCUUAAACACCAGUGUCUCCAAGGAAAUGUACUGGUGACAUAAUAUGAGUAAAUUUAAUACAGAAUCGUUCUCCACUUGCCCCCAAAUUUGGGGAGCUUCUCUUUAAAGAAAAAUAGGUUAGCAUGGCAGCUUAGCUGAAUCCACAGGAAAGCAAGCCCCAGAUUUUCUUGUGGACAGGCCUGUAAUAGAAGAGGAACAGCUGUGAGGGGGUAGGGGGCUGGAGAGCUGUGAGGGGUACUCUGCACUCCUGCUAGAAUUCUCCCAGCCCUCACAGGGGUGAAGAUGGGCUUGCGGCUCUCUUCGCAGCCCAAGCCACAGCCACCGAAGGACCCUGGCUCUUCUCAUUUGAAACUGGUAAGCCAGCUCUUUUCACCACCAGAUGAGAAGGCUUCUUCUGGUACAAAAAGUUUUGCUUAAUUACAGGGAGGCUUGAAAUUGAUGAAAUGGCCCCCUCCGGUGGUUAGAACAGCUGCUGUCCUCUCCUUCUUCAAGAAGCUUCCUGCAGGUAAGAAACCUAAGAUGAACCUUAGCGAAUUCAUUUGUCCAGUCCACCGUCCCCUCAUAUUUACCCUGUUGGUAAAAACUGCACAAACUAGCCUGCAGUGACAACACUACAACUUAGCAUCGUUCAAGAAAUCUCAGUUUGAAUGACUCCUAAAUGUUGGGAUGGAGUUCCCUAUGUUCUGGGAGUGUUAAUAUCACCCUCCUUUACAAAGGAGGCUCAUGACAUAAGUUUUGCAAGAGUCUAUAUUAAAUAAAACCCAACAACCCUAACAUGGUAGAUUAAUUUAUCUAUGUUUAGUCUCUUUCCUGGAGAAGGGCAAGAUUAAAAUGGAAGUUCUAUAGCAGAAGAUCCAAAAAAAAAAAAAAAAAAA
This is a long non-coding RNA of Sus scrofa (pig), 3878 nucleotides long. RefSeq lists it as uncharacterized. Lineage: Eukaryota; Metazoa; Chordata; Mammalia; Artiodactyla; Suidae. The record is from RefSeq and is a predicted model, not a curated record.